GCUGCAUGCCUGUAGUCCCAACUACUUGGGAGGCUGAGGUGGGAGCAUUACUUGAGCCCAGGGGUGGGAGUUGGAGGCCAGCCUGGGCAAUAUAGUGAGAAUCCUGACUUAA
This 112-nucleotide small RNA is filed under the name Marmota monax (woodchuck). The record is from RNAcentral. Lineage: Eukaryota; Metazoa; Chordata; Mammalia; Rodentia; Sciuridae.